AUCCACAGCGUUACUGCUCUAGGUGAAAGUCACUCCAAGAAGUCGUUAAUAGGCAAGCUUUGAUGUGAAGAUACAAUUAAACAAACGGCCAAUCAACUUCAGGCCAAAAGCAAAAGUGAGUGGGGGUGUGGCCUUAGGGCUGAGUGACUCAAGGUCCCCCUGGGGUCAGAGCUGCCCCAGUUAGGGGGCCGACCACCCGGACAGGGCGUCCUCCGGGGACUCGCGGAGCGCGGAGAAAGUUACAAGGGAGCUGGGGACCAAGUGCCUGAAGGGUGAGGACCUGUCCGCGUGUAAGCUGUUCACACCUCCGCUUCCCUAAAGCUGUCCCCACCCCACGGUUUAAAUCCGGUUCGGGCGAGAGGGAGAAGGGUAGGGAGAAGUCGGAGCCCGCCGUGAAGUGAUGGGUAUUUCCUGGUUGGCAAGCGCCUGGAUCACCACGCAUCCAUCUUCCGCCGUGUAGUGCCCCACAGCGUCCGGUUUCCCCGGUCCAGAGCCCGCUACGGGCCGACCCCAGGGCACCAGCCCCGAGAGGCGGAGCCGGGGAGCAAGGCCCAGGCAGCCCCGAGUGCUCGGAAAUGCCUCCUCCCAGCUCCCGCGGAUCCGGCCCCGCCAUGCCCGACCGGAAGGAGCGCUCGGGCGGCCGC
RNAcentral lists this long non-coding RNA (644 nucleotides) under Rattus norvegicus (Norway rat). RNAcentral describes it as "long non-coding RNA NONRATT001724". The record is from RNAcentral. Lineage: Eukaryota; Metazoa; Chordata; Mammalia; Rodentia; Muridae.